Molecule: ribosomal RNA, 253 nt
Filed under: uncultured bacterium
Lineage: Bacteria
Description: partial 16S ribosomal RNA
Rfam family: Bacterial small subunit ribosomal RNA
Source: RNAcentral
GACGAACCGAGCGAACGUUGUUCGGAAUCACUGGGCUUAAAGGGCGCGUAGGCGGGUGCUCAAGUCCGUGGUGAAAUCCCCCGGCUCAACCGGAGAACUGCCUCGGAUACUGGGCGUCUCGAGUGUGGUAGGGGUAUGCGGAACUAUCGGUGGAGCGGUGAAAUGCGUUGAUAUCGAUAGGAACUCCGGUGGCGAAGGCGGCAUACUGGACCACCACUGACGCUGAUGCGCGAAAGCCAGGGGAGCAAACGGG